CAAAAGACUGUAAAUCUUUCAAUGGCCAAAAGCCCAUUGCACAGAACUCGAAAUACCGUUCGCACCAAACCUUAAAGUAAACCCACACACACAUAAGUAUAAACCCACGCAACUCAAAGAUUUUACCAACCGCAAGGGCCAAUUCACCCUACCUAUAAGAUAGGCUAAACUCCCCUACCUUUAGCAUCAUGUGGUUGCAACAAACACCAGCUCUACGCUGUCUCCCGAAAAGCGAGGAGCUACUAUUAGCAAAGCAGCCAGUGUGUCAUUACUGGAAAUACAGCUAAUAAUAGAAGCAAAAUACCUUACGAAUCGCUUGAUAGCUGGUUGUUUCCUUAAAGGUAUCUAAGUACCACCCACCAGAAAAGAUAAAAGAACUCUUCUGGUGGAGAAAGCCUAGUGAGGACAAGCUCGCUAGCCACCUAGAAGUACACCUAACGAAACCUUCAUAAAUAAGCCCAAAAACAGCCACAAAAUCCGUUAUAGGAAAUGAACUUUCGCCUAUCAAAAUCUAUCUAAUUAACUUCACUUACAAGGAACCCUGCAGCACAACAAACACCACAACGAACUGGCAAACUAUUAGUAUCUUCUGUAAGCUUCAAGAGCACCACCACAAGUUACACUCACCAGACUUUCUCUAAGAAACAUACACCCGCGAAUAAUGAACUCGGCAAAAUCCUACCCUGCCUGUUUACCAAAAACAUCGUCCCCUGACUUCCACCGAUAAGGGAUACUGCCUGCCCCAUGAUUCAACUAUUAAAUGGCCGCGUUAGCGUGAGCGUGCUAAGGUAGCGUAAUAAACAGCUCCCUAAUUAGGAGCCAGUGAAAGGCAAGACGGGGAAGAGCUGUGUCACUCACGGAGAGAAAACUUUUCUUCUAAGUGAAAAGACUUAGAUAUAGGAAAAAGACAAAAAGACCCCGCGGAACUUCCCUCGCAACUUUAAGUAACGAACCAAUGAAAACGAGGUUGGUUGGGGCAACCUUGGAGUAAACAAAGCCUCCACAACACUCGCUGAAACCAAUAAAAAACUUGCUAAGGUACAUAACGCAGUUACCCCGGGGAUAACAGCGUAAUCCAGCUCAAGAGUACACAUCGAAAGCUGGGUUUGCGACCUCGAUGUUGGCUUAGGGAAAGCAACUUGGCGCAGCCACUAAGAGCAUAAUGCCAGUCUGUUCGACUGCAAACCCCCUACACGAGCUGAGUUAAGACCGGCGAGAGCUAGGUUGGAUUCUAUCUUUUCUUACUAUAACCACACUCUUUAUUGUACGAAAGGACCCAAAGAGGCACACCAGAACAGUGCCAAUUGAGCUAUACCGCAGAUUAUGCAAACAC
This 1333-nucleotide ribosomal RNA is filed under the name Lamprotula caveata. RNAcentral describes it as "16S ribosomal RNA". It matches the Rfam family "Bacterial large subunit ribosomal RNA", at positions 583 to 2752 of the family's 2925-position model. The record is from RNAcentral. Lineage: Eukaryota; Metazoa; Mollusca; Bivalvia; Unionida; Unionidae.